RNAcentral lists this ribosomal RNA (484 nucleotides) under uncultured bacterium. RNAcentral's name for it is "partial 16S ribosomal RNA". It matches the Rfam family "Bacterial small subunit ribosomal RNA", at positions 30 to 507 of the family's 1533-position model. The record is from RNAcentral.
AUUGAACGCUGGCGGCAGGCCUAACACAUGCAAGUCGAGCGGAUGAAGGGAGCUUGCUCCUGGAUUCAGCGGCGGACGGGUGAGUAAUGCCUAGGAAUCUGCCUGGUAGUGGGGGAUAACGUCCGGAAACGGGCGCUAAUACCGCAUACGUCCUGAGGGAGAAAGUGGGGGAUCUUCGGACCUCACGCUAUCAGAUGAGCCUAGGUCGGAUUAGCUAGUUGGUGGGGUAAAGGCCUACCAAGGCGACGAUCCGUAACUGGUCUGAGAGGAUGAUCAGUCACACUGGAACUGAGGCACGGUCCAGACUCCUACGGGAGGCAGCAGUGGGGAAUAUUGGACAAUGGGCGAAAGCCUGAUCCAGCCAUGCCGCGUGUGUGAAGAAGGUCUUCGGAUUGUAAAGCACUUUAAGUUGGGAGGAAGGGCAGUAAGUUAAUACCUUGCUGUUUUGACGUUACCAACAGAAUAAGCACCGGCUAACCUCGUG